GUAAUAUUCCCUCUUAGUUUUUUUAGUUGAAUAGUUAUGAUUGUUGGAGUGGGCAAAACAUAGCCUGAUUUGAUGAACCUGGCAAAGUAAAUGGCUUUUAGGAAGCCAAGUUUUGAUGUUGACCUGACAAUAACAUUUGAAAUUGGUCCAAAUUGACCUGACUUAAACCAUACACAAUAUGUUUAAACUUUAAAGGAAUAGGGUAUUCUGAAUUGGAUUUGCUUGAUAUAAGUGAGUGUAGGUCUGUACUUUGUUGUCCCAAUGAAAGCUGACACCCUAAUCCAGCACAUAUCAUAAAUGAGUUGGGUUUGGUACAAGGGAGAUUUUUAGUCGAGUAGAAUUUGGCUCUUAUUCUCAAUUGCUUCUUAUUUCUUAAUUAAGCUUUAGGUGUGGAAUUAAGGUAUAGUGUGGUUUCUCUGGUGUUGUCAGAGAUGGUACCUGUAAUCUGUCAGAGCAGUAUGGUAGAAAAAAAUGGUUGAAAUGAUGUUUCAUUUUUUCCAGUUUUCUAUUCGUGCGGAAUUCCCCCUCCUCUCUUCUCUGAAAACAGCCCAAGGUUUCCACAAUUUGACAGCCCUAGCUUUUUGACUCUUUUCUUUGUGCAGAUUAUUGAACAGCAAUACCAACUUAUCAUAUUUAGAACUUUAGCAUAUAGACUUAGUAUUUCUGUGAAGAUAUAAUCCAAAUAAACCAACAUUUGGUAGAUUAUUUACUUUUGGGUCUUGCCUGAAAAUUA
Molecule: unclassified non-coding RNA, 733 nt
Filed under: Hevea brasiliensis (rubber tree)
Lineage: Eukaryota; Viridiplantae; Streptophyta; Magnoliopsida; Malpighiales; Euphorbiaceae
Source: RNAcentral